UGGGGAAUAUUGGACAAUGGGCGAAAGCCUGAUCCAGCCAUGCCGCGUGUGUGAAGAAGGUCUUCGGAUUGUAAAGCACUUUAAGUUGGGAGGAAGGGCAUUAACCUAAUACGUUAGUGUUUUGACGUUACCGACAGAAUAAGCACCGGCUAACUCUGUGCCAGCAGCCGCGGUAAUACAGAGGGUGCAAGCGUUAAUCGGAAUUACUGGGCGUAAAGCGCGCGUAGGUGGUUUGUUAAGUUGGAUGUGAAAUCCCCGGGCUCAACCUGGGAACUGCAUUCAAAACUGACUGACUAGAGUAUGGUAGAGGGUGGUGGAAUUU
Molecule: ribosomal RNA, 322 nt
Filed under: uncultured bacterium
Lineage: Bacteria
Description: partial 16S ribosomal RNA
Rfam family: Bacterial small subunit ribosomal RNA
Source: RNAcentral